GUUUGCUUCAGCACGACAUAUACUAAAAUAGUAGCUAUACAAAGAAGAUUAGCAUGGACCCUGUGCAAGAAUGACACACAAAUUUGUGAAACAUUCCAUAUAUUA
Pongo abelii (Sumatran orangutan) is the source of this 105-nucleotide small nuclear RNA. The record is from Ensembl. Lineage: Eukaryota; Metazoa; Chordata; Mammalia; Primates; Hominidae.